UACGGGGGGGGGCAAGCGUUGUUCGGAAUUACUGGGCGUAAAGGGCUCGUAGGCGGCCAACUAAGUCGGACGUGAAAUCCCCAGGCUCAACCUGGGAACUGCGUCCGAUACUGGAUGGCUUGAAUCCGGGAGAGGGAUGCAGAAUUCCAGGUGUAGCGGUGAAAUGCGUAGAUAUCUGGAGGAAUACCGGUGGCGAAGGCGGCAUCCUGGACCGGCAUUGACGCUGAGGAGCGAAAGCCAGGGGAGCAAAGCGGG
RNAcentral lists this ribosomal RNA (255 nucleotides) under uncultured bacterium. RNAcentral's name for it is "partial 16S ribosomal RNA". It matches the Rfam family "Bacterial small subunit ribosomal RNA", at positions 524 to 777 of the family's 1533-position model. The record is from RNAcentral.